GGCCACACUGGAACUGAGACACGGUCCAGACUCCUACGGGAGGCAGCAGUAGGGAAUCUUCCGCAAUGGGCGAAAGCCUGACGGAGCAACGCCGCGUGAGUGAUGAAGGUCUUCGGAUCGUAAAACUCUGUUAUUAGGGAAGAACAUAUGUGUAAGUAACUGUGCACAUCUUGACGGUACCUAAUCAGAAAGCCACGGCUAACUACGUGCCAGCAGCCGCGGUAAUACGUAGGUGGCAAGCGUUAUCCGGCAUCAUUGGGCGUAAAGCGCGCGUAGGCGGUUUUUUAAGACUGAUGUGAAA
RNAcentral lists this ribosomal RNA (301 nucleotides) under Leptospira borgpetersenii serovar Ballum. Its description in RNAcentral is "bacterial SSU rRNA". It matches the Rfam family "Bacterial small subunit ribosomal RNA", at positions 306 to 599 of the family's 1533-position model. The record is from RNAcentral. Lineage: Bacteria; Pseudomonadati; Spirochaetota; Leptospiria; Leptospirales; Leptospiraceae.